AGUGAACAAGGUAGAAAGGGAAUGGAAAUGAGCAAAUAUAGACCAUGCAGAGUUCUUCAACAAGCAACUUAUUCCUAAAAAAAAUCUAUCCUGAGCACUGAAAUUAGUCUUCCAAAAUAAAGCCUUCCAGAGAUGGAUACUGAGAAUUAAUUAAUAGCAUCAUAUUUAAUAGAUGACUCUGCUUUCCAUAUCCUACCAGGAGGCUUCAAUCUUUAUUGUGACAGCCAUUAAAUUUAUACCAAUACAUGGAAGUAAGUUAUCUGUGAAAAACAUUUCUUCAGUUACAUUUUGUCUUCUUGCCUCCACUAAUAUAAAAGCUUACUGUCAUUUUGUUGAGCCUUUGAAAGAUUUUAGUUAGGUAAGUUGAUUUGUUAAUUAUUGUCAUCCUUUAAUAUUUGUGUGGUUUGUAUCAUUCUGUUUCUUUUCUUUUCUGUCCCAGGGAUUGUGUUUAUUAUU
Homo sapiens (human) is the source of this 456-nucleotide long non-coding RNA. RefSeq lists it as uncharacterized. The record is from RefSeq and is a predicted model, not a curated record. The transcript has 5 exons. Lineage: Eukaryota; Metazoa; Chordata; Mammalia; Primates; Hominidae.